This is an RNA transcript of Rhododendron vialii, 1636 nucleotides long. It is a transcript of the gene named protein FAR-RED ELONGATED HYPOCOTYL 3-like, with no coding region annotated. Lineage: Eukaryota; Viridiplantae; Streptophyta; Magnoliopsida; Ericales; Ericaceae. The transcript has 2 exons. The record is from RefSeq and is a predicted model, not a curated record.
UUUUUGGGUGGACUCGCGAUCUCGCAUGGCGUACCAUUACUUUCGUGAUGUAGUUACAUUUGACACAACCUAUCAAACAAACAAAUAUGAUAUGCCUUUCGCACCAUUUACGGGAGUUAACCACCACAUCCAGUCGAUACAGUUUGGAUGUGCACUUUUACAAGAUGAGACAGAGGUGACGUUUGUAUGGUUGUUUGAGACAUGGCUUGAAGCUAUGGGAAGACGUCCUCCAACUUCUAUCAUUAUUGACCACGAUUUGGCAAUGAAGGGAGCAAUUGCCCAAGGCUUCCCUAACACUCGUCAUUGACUCUGUAUUUGGCAUAUCAAGAAGAAAUUUGUUGAAAAGUUGUCACAAGUGUACUUCAAGAAAUCAAAAUUCAAGAAGGACGUGAAAAAAUGUAUUUGGACAACAUAUAGGAAAAAGGAUUUUGAAAAAAAAAAUGGAUGGAAUUGAUAGAGAAAAUUAGGUUAGAGAGCAAUGAAUGGCUUCAACAAUUGUAUGAUAUUCGUGAGUCAUGGGUACCCAUUUAUAAUCGUGGCACAUUCUUUGCCGGUAUGAAUACUACUGGACAUAGUGAGGGUGUCAAUUCAUUUUAUGAUGAUUUUGUUACUUCGACGACAAAUCUUAAAGAGUUUGUAGUCAAGUAUGACCAAGCCUUGAAGAGGAUUGUGAAAAGAGAAAAUGAUAAAGAUUUUGAGUCCGAACAUAAGUUUCGGAUGGUGAAUGACAAUGAAUUUUUGUUGAAGCAUGCGGCAAAAGUUUUUAUUAGAAAUGUCUUCAACAAGUUCAAGGGUGAAAUGAGUGGAGUCUUCAAUUACAAAGUUGAAGAGGUGGGAAUGAGAAAUACCAAUGGAAUUCAAUCUUUCAUAGUGAAGUCAAAAGAUCAUGAAGUUCAAAAGUUCGCAGUGACAUUGGAUUUGCAAACAUAUGAGGGUGUGUGUGAAUGCCAAAAUUUUGAGUUUGUUGAUAUAUUGUGUACGCACAUUUUGAAAGUGUUUGUCGGCUAGACAUUGAUGCAAUACCGGACCAUUUUAUUCUUCCACGAUGGAGGCAAAAAGCUAACAAAUUCAGAAUAAUUGAUUCCGAAGGAUUGGUACAUGAUGAUGGCAAAGAAGAAUCCGAGGCAUUAAGGCUUGGCCAUAUGUGUCAAGAAUCUACUAAAUUGGCUUGUUUGGACGCCCCAUCAAAUGAGGCAUACACAAUUUACAUCGAAGCUAUGAAUGAUCUAUCCAAGAAGCUCCUAAAAGUUACUUCGUAUGUGCCUCCAAUCAAUGUUUGUCAUGAAAAAGAUGAUUUACAUUCUACUGAGCCUUCUCAAGUAUUGCUUUCGGAUUCGAACAUCUCACAAACCCAAGGGUAGGAAAAAAGAUGUGAAGAAAAAAGAUGCUAUUAUACACUCCGGAAGAUUGAAAAGUGGUAUUGAGUUGGUAUUAAACAAGAAGAAAAGAAAGUGUCACUUAUGCAAUAAGUUAGGACAUGAUAAGAGAACUUGUCCUUCAAAUCCGAUGAGUAAAACUCACAAAGGCUUAGAAGCGGAAACACAAUAUUCUGAUAGUGACCAAUAGAUGACUUAAUGAGAAUAUGGUAAUUCAAUAUUUGCUUAACCUUCUUGAUUCUUUAGCUAAUUAUGUUGCG